AGGGAAUCUUCCGCAAUGGGCGAAAGCCUGAUGCAGCAACGCCGCGUGAGUGAUGAAUGUCUUCGGAUUGUAAAGCUCUGUCUUUGGGGACGAUAAUGACGGUACCCAAGGAGGAAGCCACGGCUAACUACGUGCCAGCAGCCGCAGUAAUACGUAGGUGGCGAGCGUUGUCCGGAUUUACUGGGCGUAAAGGAUGCGUAGGCGGAUGUUUAAGUGAGAUGUGAAAUUCCCGAGCUUAACUUGGGAGCUGCAUUUCAAACUGGAUAUCUAGAGUGCAGGAGAGGAGAAUGGAAUUCCUAGUGUAGCGGUGAAAUGCGUAGAGAUUAGGAAGAACACCAGUGGCGAAGGCGAUUCUCUGGACUGUAACUGACGCUGAGGCAUGAAAGCGUGGGUAGCAAAC
RNAcentral lists this ribosomal RNA (400 nucleotides) under uncultured bacterium. Its description in RNAcentral is "bacterial SSU rRNA". It matches the Rfam family "Bacterial small subunit ribosomal RNA", at positions 356 to 773 of the family's 1533-position model. The record is from RNAcentral.